Molecule: non-coding RNA, 74 nt
Organism: Myotis brandtii (Brandt's bat)
Lineage: Eukaryota; Metazoa; Chordata; Mammalia; Chiroptera; Vespertilionidae
Source: Rfam
GCCAAUGUUGCUAAGUGGCUAGAGUGUUGGCCUGUACACCGAAUGGUCUCGGGUUCGAUUCCCGAUCAAGGGCA